This 460-nucleotide ribosomal RNA is filed under the name uncultured bacterium. RNAcentral describes it as "partial 16S ribosomal RNA". It matches the Rfam family "Bacterial small subunit ribosomal RNA", at positions 338 to 795 of the family's 1533-position model. The record is from RNAcentral.
CCUACGGGAGGCAGCAGUGAGGAAUAUUGGUCAAUGGACGAGAGUCUGAACCAGCCAAGUAGCGUGAAGGAUGACUGCCCUAUGGGUUGUAAACUUCUUUUAUAUGGGAAUAAAAUGUUCCACGUGUGGGAUUUUGUAUGUACCAUAUGAAUAAGGAUCGGCUAACUCCGUGCCAGCAGCCGCGGUAAUACGGAGGAUCCGAGCGUUAUCCGGAUUUAUUGGGUUUAAAGGGAGCGUAGGUGGAUUGUUAAGUCAGUUGUGAAAGUUGGCGGCUCAACCGUAAAAUUGAAGUUGAACCUGGGAGUAUGGAGUACAGUUGAGGUGGGCGGAAUGCGUGGUGUAGCGGUGAGAGGAUUAGAUAUCACGAAGAACUCCGAUUGGGAGGGAAGCUCACUGGACUGAAACGGACACGGAGGCUCGAAAGUGUGGGUAUAAAACAGGAUGAGAUACCCGAGUAGUC